This 1324-nucleotide ribosomal RNA is filed under the name metagenome. RNAcentral's name for it is "bacterial SSU rRNA". It matches the Rfam family "Bacterial small subunit ribosomal RNA", at positions 141 to 1498 of the family's 1533-position model. The record is from RNAcentral.
GGAUAACGGCUGGAGACGGCCGCUAAUACCCCAUAUGCCGAGAGGUGAAAUGAAUUUCGCCUGAGGAUGGGCCCGCGUCUGAUUAGCUAGUUGGUGGGGUAAAGGCCUACCAAGGCGACGAUCAGUAGCUGGUCUGAGAGGAUGAUCAGCCACACUGGGACUGAGACACGGCCCAGACUCCUACGGGAGGCAGCAGUGGGGAAUUUUCCGCAAUGGGCGAAAGCCUGACGGAGCAACGCCGCGUGAGGGAUGAAGGCCUCUGGGCUGUAAACCUCUUUUCUCAAGGAAGAAGACCUGACGGUACUUGAGGAAUAAGCCACGGCUAAUUCCGUGCCAGCAGCCGCGGUAAUACGGGAGUGGCAAGCGUUAUCCGGAAUUAUUGGGCGUAAAGCGUCCGCAGGUGGCCCUGUAAGUCUGUCGUUAAAGCGUGGAGCUUAACUCCAUUUAAGCGAUGGAAACUACAGGGCUAGAGUGUGGUAGGGGCAGAGGGAAUUCCCGUGUAGCGGUGAAAUGCGUAGAUAUCGGGAAGAACACCAGUGGCGAAGGCGCUCUGCUGGGCCAUCACUGACACUCAUGGACGAAAGCCAGGGGAGCGAAAGGGAUUAGAUACCCCUGUAGUCCUGGCCGUAAACGAUGAACACUAGGUGUCGGGGGAAUCGACCCCCUCGGUGUCGUAGCCAACGCGUUAAGUGUUCCGCCUGGGGAGUACGCACGCAAGUGUGAAACUCAAAGGAAUUGACGGGGGCCCGCACAAGCGGUGGAGUAUGUGGUUUAAUUCGAUGCAACGCGGAGAACCUUACCAGGGUUUGACAUCCUGCGAAUCCCUUGGAAACGAGGGAGUGCCUUCGGGAGCGCAGAGACAGGUGGUGCAUGGCUGUCGUCAGCUCGUGUCGUGAGAUGUUGGGUUAAGUCCCGCAACGAGUGCAACCCACGUCGUUAGUUGCCAGCAUUCAGUUGGGCACUCUAGCGAGACCGCCGGUGAUAAACCGGAGGAAGGUGUGGAUGACGUCAAGUCAUCAUGCCCCUUACAUCCUGGGCUACACACGUACUACAAUGCUACGGACAAAGGGCAGCAAACUCGCGAGAGCUAGCAAAUCCCAUAAACCGUGGCUCAGUUCAGAUCGUAGGCUGCAACUCGCCUACGUGAAGGAGGAAUCGCUAGUAAUCGCAGGUCAGCAUACUGCGGUGAAUACGUUCCCGGGCCUUGUACACACCGCCCGUCACACCAUGGAAGUUGGCCACGCCCGAAGUCGUUACUCCAACCCUUGUGGAGGAGGACGCCGAAGGUGGGGGCUGAUGACUGGGGUGAAGUCGUAACAAGGUA